Molecule: long non-coding RNA, 654 nt
Organism: Salarias fasciatus (jewelled blenny)
Lineage: Eukaryota; Metazoa; Chordata; Actinopteri; Blenniiformes; Blenniidae
Exons: 6
Source: RefSeq, a predicted model, not a curated record
UAAGUGACAGUCAGUCACUUCAGCUUGCAACAGGCAGAGCGAGGAAGGAGAGAGAAGAAGAAGAAGAUCACUGCUUGAGAAAAAUACCAAACACCCCGUCAAUAACACCACAAGAUGGCCGGUAGGACGAAUGGACUGGAAAAUUAUUUUCUCUUUGAAAAAGUGUGAGAGCGAGAAAACAAAGUGCAUUUUAAUAUAUUUUUCUAGACAAGACUAAUUUCUUCGGUGAAUCAUCAUCAUCCACAGAGCCGACGACCCAUUCUCGAUUUGAAGAAGAAGAAGAAGAAGACUUUAACCUGACCCGGGAUGAUUUUGAUGAGCUGGACAGGCUCGAUAAUCAGACUCGAAAUCUGACCUCGACAGCCAGUGAAGUCCCAGGACCUUCAAACACAGGCCGUCAGAAUCUGACAAGAAAUAGGUCAAUUAUCACGGAUUCUCUACAAGAGUUAUCCUCUCUCCGUACCAGGGUUUUUCCUCCAAAUCGAGAAGACACUCCAGGGACUUCUGGUUCUGCAGUAAGAGCUCGCUUUUCCCGGGCUCUGAGCCGUUUCGACGACAUUGAUCACACUCAAGUCUCGGGAGACCUCAACAACCUCUGUACUUCCGAUCUCCUGUUCGCACCUGGUCGAGUAGAAACCGCUGUCAAUACAAGCG